RNAcentral lists this ribosomal RNA (591 nucleotides) under Streptomyces sp. Ulm24. RNAcentral's name for it is "bacterial SSU rRNA". It matches the Rfam family "Bacterial small subunit ribosomal RNA", at positions 250 to 850 of the family's 1533-position model. Lineage: Bacteria; Bacillati; Actinomycetota; Actinomycetes; Kitasatosporales; Streptomycetaceae. The record is from RNAcentral.
UGGUGAGGUAAUGGCUCACCAAGGCGACGACGGGUAGCCGGCCUGAGAGGGCGACCGGCCACACUGGGACUGAGACACGGCCCAGACUCCUACGGGAGGCAGCAGUGGGGAAUAUUGCACAAUGGGCGAAAGCCUGAUGCAGCGACGCCGCGUGAGGGAUGACGGCCUUCGGGUUGUAAACCUCUUUCAGCAGGGAAGAAGCGAAAGUGACGGUACCUGCAGAAGAAGCGCCGGCUAACUACGUGCCAGCAGCCGCGGUAAUACGUAGGGCGCAAGCGUUGUCCGGAAUUAUUGGGCGUAAAGAGCUCGUAGGCGGCUUGUCACGUCGGGUGUGAAAGCCCGGGGCUUAACCCCGGGUCUGCAUUCGAUACGGGCUAGCUAGAGUGUGGUAGGGGAGAUCGGAAUUCCUGGUGUAGCGGUGAAAUGCGCAGAUAUCAGGAGGAACACCGGUGGCGAAGGCGGAUCUCUGGGCCAUUACUGACGCUGAGGAGCGAAAGCGUGGGGAGCGAACAGGAUUAGAUACCCUGGUAGUCCACGCCGUAAACGGUGGGGAACUAGGUGUUGGCGACAUUCCACGUCGUCGGUGCCGCA